Long non-coding RNA from Gossypium raimondii (Peruvian cotton), 898 nucleotides. RefSeq lists it as uncharacterized. Lineage: Eukaryota; Viridiplantae; Streptophyta; Magnoliopsida; Malvales; Malvaceae. The transcript is spliced from 4 exons. The record is from RefSeq and is a predicted model, not a curated record.
ACAGAAAAAAGGAAGCAAAACUCUACAGUAUUCGGACUAGCUGAUGAUACUACCUCAUCCUGAUGCUUUUUCUUUUCUUAUUCGUUCUUCUUUGGGAGGAUUGUUUUUCUUCAGCCUUAAUGGCUUAAACCCAGAAACCUCUCUAAUUAUUUCUUCCACUGGAACUUCAAUGCCGAGCUUCCUUUCCUAAAGCUUCUCAAUUCCUCUCCAUUCUCUUCAAAACCCACUUAAGGGUAGAUAUGCAAAUAAAUCAGCUUCCUCUAGCCUUCCAGGCCUCGCAACCACCAAAACAGCAUCAGCUCCCUGCAUCUCAAAUAAAGGCAUAUGUUCUGUCAAUGGUGAACAUCAUCUGAAUAGCCCAACAAAGCAUUCUGAAGAUAUUGAUUCAUGUAGUUUGAAUGCACAUUGCAAUUUGCAACAAUGUUGCACUUGCCUACUCUGAGUUGCUGAAGCUCACAUGGACUAUUCAUGAGCCUCCUGCUUUCUGUCCUGAAAAAUGGGCGCACUGAAUGCAAUUACAACACCAGAUUGCUUUAAUUUAUUGACAUUCACCAUUGCCAAAGUUCCAGACAGCACUCACAGACAAGGGAUGCAGGCCCUGCAGGAGUUCAGGUUAUGGAGCUCAAUACCGCAAUUCCGUGGUCGGAGCCAGCGGCAACAACAUUUAUCCUUAAAUCAUUAUAUCAAGAAAACUUCACAUAAUACCACAUUGAUAUAGUUGGUCCGUGAGUUUUGAGGUUUUCAAAAUCAUCCUGUACUCAAGAAUACUGCUGCAGAUUAGUACAUUGGUAUAGUUAGACUCAAAGCUUUGAGGCUUUCAAAAUCACUAUGUAAAGAAACCAUCACACAAAAUGCUGCAAUGGUUAUGGUUUGAUGCAAAAAGUUUGGGAUUUAAUCA